This 252-nucleotide ribosomal RNA is filed under the name uncultured bacterium. RNAcentral's name for it is "partial 16S ribosomal RNA". It matches the Rfam family "Bacterial small subunit ribosomal RNA", at positions 524 to 776 of the family's 1533-position model. The record is from RNAcentral.
UACAGAGGGUGCAAGCGUUAAUCGGAAUUACUGGGCGUAAAGCGUGCGCAGGCGGCUUUGCAAGACAGAUGUGAAAUCCCCGGGCUCAACCCUGGGAACUGCAUUUGUGACUGCAUGGCUGGAGUGCGGCAGAGGGGGGAUGGAAUUCCGCGUGUAGCAGUGAAAUGCGUAGAUAUGCGGAGGAACACCGAUGGCGAAGGCAAUCCCCUGGGCCUGCACUGACGCUCAUGCACGAAGCGUGGGAGCAACAGG